Molecule: long non-coding RNA, 595 nt
Organism: Pipistrellus kuhlii (Kuhl's pipistrelle)
Lineage: Eukaryota; Metazoa; Chordata; Mammalia; Chiroptera; Vespertilionidae
Exons: 2
Source: RefSeq, a predicted model, not a curated record
GCACAACCCCCUACUGGGGAUGUGCCCACAACCAAGGUACAUGCCCUUGACCGGAAUCGAACCUGGGAUCCUUCAGUCCGCAGGCCGACGCUCUAUCCACUGAGCCACACCGGUUAGGGUGAGAGGACAUUUUCUAGCAAUAACAUUGCCAAGCCCUAACCAGUUCUGCUCAGUGAUUAGAGCGUCAGCCCAUGGACUGGAGGGUCUCAGGUUCGAUCCCGGUCAAGGCCACAUACCUCAGUCGCAUUCAGGAGGCAACCAAUAGAUGUUUCUCCCUGUCUCUCCCCCUCCCUUCCACUCUCUAAAAAUCAAUGGAAAAUAUAUCCUUGGGUGAGGAUUAACAAAAAAUUUUUUUUUAAAAAAUUGUCAAGUAUAUCUAAUCAGAUGUUUUUAAGAAUUUACUAGAGUCCUAACCAGUUUGGCUCCGUGGAUAGAGCGUCAGCCUUCGGACUGAAGGGUCCCAGGUUCCAUUCCAGUCAAGGGCACAUACCUUGGUUGCAGGCACAUCCCCAGCAGGGAGUGUGCAGGAGGCAGCUGAUCAAUAAAUAUAUUUAUUUUAAAAAAGAAUUUGACUAGAAGCACUAGCCACACAGGA